This 456-nucleotide ribosomal RNA is filed under the name Flavobacteriaceae bacterium enrichment culture clone NPHTC-009. Its description in RNAcentral is "bacterial SSU rRNA". It matches the Rfam family "Bacterial small subunit ribosomal RNA", at positions 1 to 456 of the family's 1533-position model. The record is from RNAcentral. Lineage: Bacteria; Pseudomonadati; Bacteroidota; Flavobacteriia; Flavobacteriales; Flavobacteriaceae.
UAGAGUUUUGAUUAUGGCUCAGGAUGAACGCUAGCGGCAGGCUUAACACAUGCAAGUCGAGGGGUAACAGGGAUUGCUUGCAAUCCGCUGACGACCGGCGCACGGGUGCGUAACGCGUAUGCAACCUACCUUCUACAGGGGGAUAGUCAAUAGAAAUGUUGAAUAAUACCCCAUACGAUCUUUGAAUAGCAUUAUUUAAAGAAGAAAGCUCCGGCGGUAGAAGAUGGGCAUGCGUCCUAUUAGUUAGUUGGUAAGGUAACGGCUUACCAAGACUUCGAUAGGUAGGGGUCCUGAGAGGGAGACCCCCCACACUGGUACUGAGACACGGACCAGACUCCUACGGGAGGCAGCAGUGAGGAAUAUUGGACAAUGGAGGCAACUCUGAUCCAGCCAUGCCGCGUGCAGGAAGACUGCCCUAUGGGUUGUAAACUGCUUUUAUACAGGAAGAAAUAUACC